GGUGCGAUAAUACAGCCGGGCCUGCAUAAGUGUGUCAUACUGUGCUAAAAGCAAAUAAAACAGGGAGGAAACCACCAUCAGCCCCUCUGAGUUCUGGAAGGCCCACUCUUCCCUGAGGAUGGUUCUGUGUGUGUGAUCCCACCAUGACACAAGACCAUGUGACACUGGGAUCAGGUGAGAGUGCUGUGUCAGUGUCAGUCCCUGUAUUCAUUCAUUUUUUUUUUUUUUUGGCUUUUUAGGGCUGCACCCACAGCAUAUGGAGGUUCCAAGGCUAGGGGUCCAAUCGUAGCUGUUGCUGCUAGCCACAGCCACAGCACCUCAGGAUCCCAGCCUUGUCUGCAACCUACAGCACAGCUCACGGCAAUGCCGGAUCCUUAACCCAUGGAUUGGGGCCAGGGAUCGAACCCACAUCCUUAUGGAUACUAGUCAGGUUCGUUAGCCACUGAGCCACGACGGGAACUCCAUGUAUUCAUUCUUCCAUUACUGCCAGGAGACAUGUGCCCUACUCUGUAGAACUCUAAUAUAAAUCACCAAAAUACAGUUUUCUAAAAGGACUUUUACAGGAGCCAUGAAUUUAUGUAUGUAGCAGAAGACCCAUAUUCUAUUCAAUUAGCAUGGCUGUUAUAUAACACGUUUCAAAGAGCCUAAAGCCUGGAGAGGCUGGAUGACUUUCCCUUGACCCCACGGAGGGUUCUUGGCAAAUAAGACCAGAAAUCAGAUCCUCUGAGCCUCAGGCUAACACGCUUCCGGGUAACACCAUGAGAUUAUGAACGAGUAAAUUUAGUAAUUUCGUGACUGAAUUAAGUUCUGUCGGCCUCUCUUCAGCAUCGUGCUGUGGGAUGGGGGAGAGGGGACUCAAGCCAAGAACAGGAGUAGAAACCAGGUGGUGACAGCCCUGGAGAAGGGGGAAUUUUCAGUUCCCUGCAAGCAAGAUACGAGAAGGGACAAUUUGCUUUUGGGCCCCCCGUUUCUGUUUGUCUCACUGACAACAAACUUUAUAUUGAUUACAGUUCUCCUGAAAAGAGUUCUCUCGUGCUUCCCCUGCCAGAUAGUCGGGGACAUGAUAUUUAAUGUCACAUUGAUUAUACUGAUGCAUGUUGAUUAUAUUCAGGGACUGCCAGCCAGAAAGGUAUCUGGUAUGGCAAUCGGGAAGGAAGGAUACAAAUGCAAUAAGAUGAAGUUAAUUAUGUUUCCCUCCUGUACUAGGAAAGUUCAAUAAGAGAAGCAAGACCCGAUGAGUAUUAUGAGAUAGGUAAUUUAUUACGGAGUCAAACCUUACACACUUUGGGAAGGAGCUGAGGAAGAAAAGGUCCGAAAAAUACGUGGUGCAGGUGGACCAGCUGGAUGGAGGUAAAAGCGGUGGCGGGAGAGGCUGGCAGAGAGAGGUCUCUGGAAGGCUGUAGGCUUACUGUGGCUCCUACCUCUGUGAGCUCCCAGCAAGACAUUUCCUGAUGGGUCUGGGUCACUGCUGGUCAGUAAGCCAGCAUUUAUGAAGAAGAGCUGGACUUGCAGUGGGGAAAAUCGGGAGCAAAUGAGAACCCACUGGUACCUCGGUAACGGCUCCAUCUGCCUCUACCAACCUUCAAAUGGCUGGUGCUGCAUUUCUGCCUCUUAAAUACCACAUGCGUGUGCAGGAGUUCCCAUUGUGGUGCAGCAGAAACGAAUCUGACUAGUAUCCAUGAAGAUGUGGAUUCGAUCCCUGACCUUGCUCAGUGGGUUAAGGAUCUGGCAUGGCCGUGAGUCAUGGUGUAGGUCACAGGCACAGCUUGGAUCUGGCAUUGCUGUGGCUGUGGUGUAAGUCAGCACCUGCAACUCCAAUCUGACCCCUAGCCUGGGAACUUCCACAGGUGUGGCCCUAAAAACACACACAAAGUACUGCUCGAAUUUUUCCUGUGGUUGCCUCUGAGGAUAUGGGGCUGUCACUGUCCCAUCAUGUCUCCCUGCAAGGAUUUCGCUUUUUUUUUUGGCCAUGGGUGGCAUGAGAAAGUUCCAGGGCCAGGGACCAAACCCAUGUCACAUCAACAACCUGAGCCACAGCAGUGACAACACCAGAUCCUUAACCUGCUGAGCCACCAGGGAACUCCUGCAAGGCCGUUGGUUCAUAGGUGGGACAUGCUGGUUUGGAGCCAGACCUGAACUACGGAGGAUGUGGAGAUAAGGCAGAAAGAGCUUCCUGCAGCUCCUCUUCUCAGCCUUUGCCUGGAGCCUCCGGAGAGGAAUGCAGCCCUGCUGUCACCUUGAUUUUGGCCCAGUGCUCUGGUCUGAACAUUUGCAUCUCCCCAAACUUCAUAUGUUGAGAUCCUACCCAUGAUGCAACGGUGGGUCCUUUGGGAGAUGAUUAGGCCAUGAGGGUGGUGCCCACGUGGAUGGGAUUAGUACCCUUAUAAAAGAGACCCCACAGAAAUCCCCAAAGCCUUCCACCAGAUGCCAACACUGCAAGGAGAAAUCUACAGCCCAGAACAGGCCCUCCCCUUUCAUGCCAGUAUUUUGAUCCCAGACUUCCAGCCUCCACAACUGUGACAAAUAAAUUUCUGUUGUUUAUAAGCUACCCGAUCUGUGUUUUUUAUAAGAGCAGUGCAAGGGGAUGGAGAAACUAUCUCCCUGGCAGUCUGCUGCCAAUGACUCACUGAUUUGAGGGUACAAAAGGCCAGCCCACUGGUCUCAAGGAGGGGAUGCCUCUGCAGUGCAAUUCAUGCUCCAGAGCUUCCCAUGGGCCAGGCUGCACCUGCUGAGGCUCCAUCUGCUCUCUUCCACUGUCCUCUCUCCCUUUUUCCUGAGAGCACAUCCUCAAAUAAAUCAUGGAUACCUGAGUUCCUGUCUUAGGCUUUCCUUGUAAAGAGUACCAAUCCAUGACCCCUCUCUCUCGCAGUCUCCUCAUCAGCCACAUGGUCCCUUGGCAGUUUUCAGAAUGCUGGGCAUUGGUUCCUGAUAAACCUACAAAGAUUUUAUUAACCCCAUUUUACAGAUGAGGAAACUGAGGCACAUAAAUGUUAAAUAAGUCAUAUAGCUUGUAAGUGGUGGAGCCUUGACCCCAAGCUGUUUGACUCCAGACACUGUGCCAUCACAUAACAUUAUCAUACUGAUUUAUUUAUUUACAUUGUUUACUAAUUUCCAUUUUGUUUACUUUGGUUAUUGUGUGUCUCCACCCACUCAAAUACAAGCUCAUGGAGGAUAUGGAUCUUUGUGUGUUUAGUCCACUACUAUAUCGCCUAGUACCUAAAGAAGUCCAGGUAUUAUGCUAUUUAUUUAUUAAAUAUUGAUUAAGUUACAUAGUUUCUGUGGCUCCAAGCCCUUCUACUUCCUGGAUUCAAGGGCAAAACACAUGGUAAGAAGGGUAGGUUUGUUAUUUGCAUUUUAGCCAAGCAUCCACGUCAUGUAAUAGAUGCUUCUUCCUUCCCAUCUUGAUUCAGCUCUGUAAUAAGUUGGAUGCAAGAUAUUUAAGGCACACGGUGAUUGCUUAAAUUUUUGGCAUUUGAAAUAUUUUUAAAUGGAAGCAUUUUAGAACCGUGAGUGCGGUGCAGCUGUGUAAUUGUUGCCUAAGAUAAUGAUCUCGGGUAUUCCAAGUGCCAGAAUUGGCAAUGAUGUCAUUGAGGCCUUACCAGAGACAAUCAAGGCUGAGAGAAGACUUGUAUGAAUCUAAAUUGAAAGUUCAUGGCCAGCGUUCCUGUCCUGGCUCAGCAGUUAACAAAUCUGACUAGCAUCCAUGAGGAUGCAGGUUCGAUCGCUGGCCUUGCUCAGUGGGUUAAGGAUCCCACAUUGCCAUGAGCUGUGGUGUAGGUUGCAGAUGUGGCUCGGAUCCUGUGUUGCUGUGGCUGUGGUGUAGCCCAGCAGCUACAGCUCCAAUUCGACUCCUAGCCUGGGAACCUCCAUAUGCCUUGGGUAUGGCCCUAAAAAGCAAAAAAAAAAAAAAAAA
This 3913-nucleotide long non-coding RNA is filed under the name Sus scrofa (pig). RNAcentral's name for it is "lncRNA (ENSSSCG00005041228.1)". The record is from RNAcentral. Lineage: Eukaryota; Metazoa; Chordata; Mammalia; Artiodactyla; Suidae.